Molecule: long non-coding RNA, 4024 nt
Organism: Mus musculus (house mouse)
Lineage: Eukaryota; Metazoa; Chordata; Mammalia; Rodentia; Muridae
Product: predicted gene 11523
Exons: 4
Source: RefSeq, a predicted model, not a curated record
AGAGUGCUUUGCUGAAGCAGAGACCUAUGAGGAAUGUUUUGCUGACCACAGCCAUACGGUGUCUCCUGGCGGCUUCCUGGUGAAAGGUCACGUGAUGUUUUGCUGGAGCCAACACUUGAGAGGUCACGUGAUGUUUGGAGAGCGCAUAAGUAUAGAUAGCCCAACAGAGUGGGUGACCCUCUGGCAUUUGCCACUUUCUGCUGGUCUACGUUGGGCUUUGCUGACACUGGUCUUUGCUGAUGAUGCUAUGAUGGAGAUGUUCCGGCUGUUUCCUUCUGCUUCAGCGGACUCGUGCUAAUCAGUGGAACCUCUCAGUUUUCUCUGGAUCGUGUCACUGCUGCUGAUUUGAGUGGACUGGAUGACUGACAACGAAGAUUGGAACCACCCCAGAGAACUGCUUCUAACCAGGGUGGGGGGAGCCACCGAGCCCGCGCUCCCCCCAGCUCCCAGCAGCCGGGCGCAAAGCAGAUGUUCCACCGCGGACGCGGAGUUGCGCUGAGUCUCGCGCCCCGGAGGCCGCGGUUGCCAUGGCGACGGCCGGGCCGCCUGCUGUCGCGGAGCACGCUGUCUCGCCCGCUCAGUGAUUACCUCCAUCUCUGCAGCGUUCGCCAUACGGCCGGGAUUCUAAUCAGUUCCCCUCCCCCUCCCCUCCUCUGCCCAGCCCACUAUCCCUUAACCCCCCACCCCCGCACCAACGUCUUAGGAACUCAUUAAGCGUUGCGGCUGCAUCCCAGCAAGUGUUCGAGCAAACAGAGAGCUCAGAAGUGUCCUGCGCUCACUUCUCUGUUUAGGAAUGACUGGCUCUAGUGUGGAAAUCGGUCUGCAUCGCCACUCCCCUAGCUAUCUUAGGUACAACUGGGUCUCCAGGGCCCAGCUUCCAACACUGUCCCUGAAGGUUCCACUUUCUGGGUUUUGCAGAGGCAGGUUCCCUAAGGUCCCUGGGGCGCAGUAAGACAGGCUGUCAUAGUUUACCUUUAGGCCAGAGGUUCUCAUCCUGUAGGUCCCGACACUUUUGGGGGUCUAACAAGCCAUUCACUGGGGUCCAAUAUUAGGUAUUCUGCAUAUCAAAUAUUUACAUUACAAUUCAUAGCAGUAGCAAAAGUACAGUUAUGAAGUAGCAGCAAAAAUAAUUUUAUGGCUGAGAGAUCAUCACAACAUUGCAGCUUUAGGAAGAAGGUUAAGAACUGCUCCUCUAGACAGGCAGACAGGCAGACAGGCAGGCCUCUGUCAUUUUGCUUUUGAAGGUGUUGGAAAUGGGGGUGAGGGGUGGGGGCAAAACACAUGGUUUCUGGGUCAUUUAGAGAACCAGGUCUGGCUGUGCCCUUGUGGUAUUUCACACUAAGGAGAAGGUCAGCACGGUGGCUUGGUAUUUAAGCUGAGAACUUUGGAGGUCCAGACAAGUUCAAGGCCAACCUGAACUAUAAAGUCAAACACUGCCCUCCCAGUACCCCACACCCUCCCCCCAAAAAAACCAACAGUCUAAGAGGAGGAAGGAGAAGUCCACUCAAAGCUUACAGACUUGGCCCAUGGUUCUUAAGACCAUUUACCCAUAAUCCCCCACACUAUGACGUUAGUACUCCCAGGCUGAGCUUGCCUUCUUUACCAGUGGUCUCUGAUAUACCCCCAGCUGGUUCUUUUGCACGUACUGCCCCCCCCAAACCAUUCCAAGCUUGAUAGGGAUAAGGACCAACAAUGUUUAGGGAUUUGAGGUGCCUAGAAGUCUUUCUAUUGGGAAGGACGGUCCUCUCCUUGAGACUCUGAGGUUUAGCUGCAAGACCUCAGACAUAACUCUUCUUUUCAAACAUUCCUGGUUUCAGGAGACAUGGGGUAAAAAAGUUUCAGGAGACAUGGAUGGGUGGGGGGUAAAAAAAAAAAAAACAGAAGCCAUGGGCAAGACAGCCCCAAGGGGCCUGAGAGCGAGAGAGAGAGAGAGAGAGAGAGAGAGAGAGAGAGAGAGAGAACUGAGAAUGUAAAAACCAGCAAGGAGGAGAGAUUCCAAGAGCAGACCUCACAUCUCUUCCUAAAUCGCAAACCAGGAAGCCCAAGGUGGUUGAAGGAGGAAAAAUAGUUUUGCUUAAAGAGAAAGGUCACUUGGGGUGAUUUAAAGCAGAAACGUGUAUGUUCUAGUGGAUUAUUGAUGCAGGAAAACAUUGGUGCUUUUAAAGCUCCCACUGUGUGCUCAAAGCCAGCCUCCUCCCAAUGCUUGCCUGCUCCCCAGAGUCUGCUAAAAAUCCUCAUAUUAGACCCCAAGGGUCCUUCGAGAUCUAGAAUGGUCCUUCAUGUUAUAGAUGAGAAGCAGAGACCCAGAGAGAGAUUCUAGCUGGCCUCAGACCCCACAGCUAGCAAACAGUAUAAGGUCUGCCUGGCUGUUACUGCUCUGACGGACAGGGACAGCCGCUGGACCAGGCCCUCUUUCUUCCCGUGGAGGCCGCUGGCUCACUCGCCCGCCAGCCCGCCCCGGAAAGUCCUGGUUUCCAAGAGGCACACUCAGAAUCUCAAACAUCUCAGACCUUUCUAAGCUCCUAGUCACCCCUGUCCCCUGAAGGCCUGUCACCUGAAGACAUCUCCACCAGAGUGACAGCUCUAGCCCUAGAUGGCCUGGGGCCUCUCCCCAGGGGUUGGCGCUGUUUUGCUAUGUAGUCCAGAAUAGCAUCAAAUUCGUGGCUCUCUUCCUGUCUCAGCCUCCAGAAAGCACAUCGCUUCACAGUGUGUUUCAAAGAGGUUGAGGGCAAAGAAACUCGGACCUUUGGGCAGGCUGCUCUGCCCAUUUCUCUCUCCAGGCCUGGCUGGCUCUACCAAUGUUUGAGGCCCUGAGAAGAGCACGGGUGUCGCCUCCCACUCCUCCUGACAGCCGACAAUGAUCCAGUCACAGGGAGCCAUCCAUCAGUGUCGGGGGAAAAGAGUGGCCCUAAGGAUCCUUUCCCGCACACUCUUCGAAGCUGCUGGGUGCGAUGGGCAAGACAAGGAAGGAUGCCAGGGGUGGGCAGACUCGGGAAGGCAAGCCCUGGCUCAGAACUGCGGACGCCCUUCCCGAAAUCCCUCAGGCUCCGGCCAGUGGCCACGAUGAUGAGGCUCUCAUCUCGGAAAAGCUGGUGCAGCGGCCAGGGCUCCGGGCUGUCAGCCAGGCCUGCUGUCUAGGCGGCUCCACCUGGAUGCAGAAAGCGAGGGGGGCAGGGAGACGCAAUAGCCAGAAGACUGGACCUGCAGACUUGGGGUCAUCACCACUAUGGGAGCUCAGCUCAACGCAACCCCCCAGUCGCUGCUUUGCUAAUCCCUCCCUAUGGGAUCAGGGUAGUAGCCUUUAGCCAUAGCAAGUCAAGGAACACUUUCUUGUUACCUUUAACCAUCUGUAGCCUAGGCUGGUCUCAAACACAGUAAAUAGUUAGAAAAUGACUUUCAACUUCUGAUUCUCCAGCCUCCACCUCUCAAGAGACGAGAUUAUAGGCUUGUGUGUUCCACACCCUGUGAGGACCAAGUGCGAGUAAGGAAUUCAGAUAUUGUAGUAUAAUGAGGAGUUUUCUAUCCCCUAUCGAGCGGAAGCUGCGAUAUACUUGUAUAUUCGAAACUUUCAGGGUCUCGGUGUAUCCCUUAAUAGAAUGUGGACAGUAUCGUGUAGUUCAGAGAGUUGUGUGAGCCAGCCUUCCUGGAGCUCCUAGCUUCUGCCUGAUGCUUCCCAUUCCCGUCCUCGCACAACUGAAAUUGCAGGACCAAGUCAGGUCAGGCCGGGUUGCCAGGAGGCAGUUUACUCCUCCGGGCCUUGGCUCCAUCCAUGGUGGAGCCAAGUGCUACGGGUGGCUGAAUAUUUGAGAAAUAAUCCAAAGAAUGUCUUUUCCGUCACCACACUGGCCCCUGAACUGCACAAUUUUAUUGUGCCACCUUCCCCCUCUCUCAGGAUUGCCUUUUUGCAACUCUGGGCUGUGUGCACAGCGACUCUAGAAAGACACUAUAGUAAGCGUUUACAAUGAGUAGAUAAUCAUCCCCGUAUCUUCGUAGAGUUCUCUAAUUACAGACGUAGUCAAAUUCA